AGAAUCAACGCUGGCGGCGUGCCUAACACAUUCAAGUCGAACGAGAAAGUGGAGCAAUCCAUGAGUAAAGUGGCGCGCGGGUGAGUAACACGUGACUAACCUACCCUUGAGUGGGGGAUAACCUAGAGAAAUCUGGGCUAAUACCGCAUAAUACCCUUCGGGUCAAAGGAGCAAUUCGCUUAAGGAGGGGGUCGCGGCCGAUUAGUUAGUUGGCGGGGUAAUGGCCCACCAAGACUGUGAUCGGUA
RNAcentral lists this ribosomal RNA (246 nucleotides) under uncultured bacterium. RNAcentral's name for it is "partial small subunit ribosomal RNA". It matches the Rfam family "Bacterial small subunit ribosomal RNA", at positions 26 to 285 of the family's 1533-position model. The record is from RNAcentral.